Molecule: ribosomal RNA, 249 nt
Filed under: uncultured bacterium
Lineage: Bacteria
Description: partial 16S ribosomal RNA
Rfam family: Bacterial small subunit ribosomal RNA
Source: RNAcentral
AGAGAGAAGCUUGCUUCUCUUGAGAGCGGCGGACGGGUGAGUAAUGCCUAGGAAUCUGCCUGGUAGUGGGGGAUAACGUUCGGAAACGGACGCUAAUACCGCAUACGUCCUACGGGAGAAAGCAGGGGACCUUCGGGCCUUGCGCUAUCAGAUGAGCCUAGGUCGGAUUAUCUAGUUGGUGGGGUAAUGGCUCACCAAGGCGACGAUCCGUAACUGGUCUGAGAGGAUGAUCAGUCACACUGGAACUGA